AGAGUUUGAUCCUGGCUCAGGAUGAACGCUGGCGGCGUGCUUAACACAUGCAAGUCGAACGAGGUCCAACCUUCGGGUGAAGACCGAGUGGCGAACGGGUGAGUAACACGUGGGGAACCUGCCCUUCUCUCUGGGAUAACGUCGGGAAAUCGGCGCUAAUACCGGAUACUCCUUGCGGAUCGCAUGGUCUGCUCGGGAAAGCUCCGGCGGAGAAGGAUGGCCCCGCGGCCCAUUAGCUAGUUGGUGGGGUAACGGCCCACCAAGGCGACGAUGGGUAGCCGAGCUGAGAGGCUGAUCGGCCACACUGGGACUGAGACACGGCCCAGACUCCUACGGGAGGCAGCAGUGGGGAAUCUUGCGCAAUGGGCGAAAGCCUGACGCAGCAACGCCGCGUGCGGGAUGAAGGCUCUCGGGUCGUAAACCGCUUUCAGCAGGGAUGAAAUUGACAGUACCUGCAGAAGAAGCCCCGGCUAAAUACGUGCCAGCAGCCGCGGUAAUA
RNAcentral lists this ribosomal RNA (499 nucleotides) under bacterium enrichment culture clone 38. Its description in RNAcentral is "bacterial SSU rRNA". It matches the Rfam family "Bacterial small subunit ribosomal RNA", at positions 8 to 525 of the family's 1533-position model. The record is from RNAcentral.